RNAcentral lists this small nucleolar RNA (82 nucleotides) under Smittium culicis. Lineage: Eukaryota; Fungi; Kickxellomycota; Harpellomycetes; Harpellales; Legeriomycetaceae. The record is from RNAcentral.
UACAUUAAAAUGAUGAUAAAUCCAUAAGAACAACUGAGUUACUGAUUAUAUCUUAAACAUGCAUCACCAUCUGAUUUUUUUU